GUAAUAAUAUAAGCAAAAGGGGCCUUGCUGUUCUCAGUUCAUGCUGGCGUGUCAAUAGAGUGUGAUUUGCAACCUGGCACUCUGCUCCGAACAGGCUGCUGAUAACAGUCAUUACUCACUGUCUCUAGAGGGUCCUUCUCGGCGCUCGGGGCUGACUAACCAGCAAACAGCCACCUUGACAGCCCAGCUCCCAUGUAGCAGCUCUGAUUCCUUGAUCAUUCCUUCGGAACACCUGAGAAGAAGUCCUAAAAUGACAUCCUUUUCCUUCCUGAGAUCUGGUGUUCCAUCGACAUUUGGGGAGACAAAUUUAGUGAUCUCAGGGUAUCCAAUUUGCUUUUGA
This 340-nucleotide long non-coding RNA is filed under the name Bos mutus (wild yak). Its description in RNAcentral is "lncRNA (ENSBMUG00000025815.1)". Lineage: Eukaryota; Metazoa; Chordata; Mammalia; Artiodactyla; Bovidae. The record is from RNAcentral.